RNAcentral lists this transfer RNA (88 nucleotides) under Phycisphaerales bacterium. RNAcentral's name for it is "tRNA-Pro". Lineage: Bacteria; Pseudomonadati; Planctomycetota; Phycisphaerae; Phycisphaerales. The record is from RNAcentral.
GCCCCACUGGUGAAACUGGCAUACACGCUGCAUUUGGACUGCAGUGGCAAGCGUGCUUGCCGUCCCGGUUCGAGUCCGGGGUGGGGCA